Molecule: ribosomal RNA, 253 nt
Filed under: uncultured bacterium
Lineage: Bacteria
Description: partial 16S ribosomal RNA
Rfam family: Bacterial small subunit ribosomal RNA
Source: RNAcentral
UACAUGGGGUGCAAACGUUGCUCGGAAUUAUUGGGCGUAAAGCGUGUGUAGGCGGCUCGCUAAGUCUGAUGUGAAAUCCCUGGGCUUAACCCAGGAACUGCAUCGGAAACUAGCGGGCUUGAGUUCGGGAGAGGGUGGUGGAAUUCCUGGCGUAGAGGUGAAAUUCGUAGAUAUCAGGAGGAACACCGGUGGCGAAGGCGGCCACCUGGACCGAUACUGACGCUGAGACACGAAAGCGUGGGGAGCAAACGGG